CGAAGUGAGACCAAGAUUUAAGAGGGGAAAAAAGGAAAGCCAGAGGGCUGAAGGGCGACAUCUGGUUUCAUCAUUGACAUUGACGGGCCAUCCUUCUCUCUUGGUUUCUUGUCUCCCUCAGAAAAGAAAAAGAGGCAGAACCAACACAAAUGGACACACGAGGAACUGGGAGGAGAGGAUAAGGGAGAUUUACAUGCAUGUGGAGGGUUCCCCUACUCACAUCCUCAUUAAGAUGGUCAGACAGUGAAUGGUCCAGCAGCAGCAGCCUGUGAAAGAGGCCAAGACCAGGAGAUGGUGGCCCCUGGGGCAAGUGGGAGGCCCCUGGCUUCUCUGGAUCCCUCCAUUCUGAGGGUCCCAGGGGUAAUCCUGUCCAGACAUCCACACUCAGCCCAGGGGGCUAAU
Phascolarctos cinereus (koala) is the source of this 402-nucleotide non-coding RNA. Lineage: Eukaryota; Metazoa; Chordata; Mammalia; Diprotodontia; Phascolarctidae. The record is from RefSeq and is a predicted model, not a curated record.